UAGGGAAUCUUCGGCAAUGGACGAAAGUCUGACCGAGCAACGCCGCGUGAGUGAAGAAGGUUUUCGGAUCGUAAAACUCUGUUGUUAGAGAAGAACAAGGACGUUAGUAACUGAACGUCCCCUGACGGUAUCUAACCAGAAAGCCACGGCUAACUACGUGCCAGCAGCCGCGGUAAUACGUAGGUGGCAAGCGUUGUUCGGUUUUAUUGGGCGUAAAGCGAGCGCAGGCGGUUUCUUAAGUCUGAUGUGAAAGCCCCCGGCUCAACCGGGGAGGGUCAUUGGAAACUGGGAGACUUGAGUGCAGAAGAGGAGAGUGGAAUUGCAUGUGUAGCGGUGAAAUGCGUAAAUAUAUGGAGGAACACCAGUGGCGAAGGCGGCUCUCUGGUAUGUAACUGACGCUGAGGCUCGAAAGCGUGGGGAGCAAACAG
Molecule: ribosomal RNA, 428 nt
Filed under: Gemmatimonadota bacterium
Lineage: Bacteria; Pseudomonadati; Gemmatimonadota
Description: Gemmatimonadetes bacterium partial 16S ribosomal RNA
Rfam family: Bacterial small subunit ribosomal RNA
Source: RNAcentral